This 233-nucleotide ribosomal RNA is filed under the name uncultured organism. RNAcentral's name for it is "partial 16S ribosomal RNA". It matches the Rfam family "Bacterial small subunit ribosomal RNA", at positions 355 to 600 of the family's 1533-position model. The record is from RNAcentral.
UGGGGAAUAUUGGGCAAUGGAGGAAACUCUGACCCAGCGACGCCGCGUGAGGGAUGAAGGCCUUCGGGUUGUAAACCUCUUUCAGUAGGGAAGAAGCGAAAGUGACGGUACCUACAGAAGAAGCACCGGCUAACUAUGUGCCAGCAGCCGCGGUAAGACGGAGGAUGCAAGCGUUAUCCGGAAUUAUUGGGCGUAAAGCGGACGUAGGCGGCUUAUCAAGUCUGGGGUUAAAG